GGUUAAAUGAGUAACAGGGGUCCUCUGCAGCUCAGUUGGUAGAGCCUGGCACUUGUAACGGCAGGAUAGUGGGUUCAAAUCCCAAAACGUUCUGCUAAGCGGAAUAUAUUAUAGUUAAGCCAGUCUCGUUGAUGGCUAUCAACUCUCUGCACUUCAGCCUCCAUUAAGGGCAACUCUCAACCUUCAGCGAGAACACUCCUGUACUUAGGUUGUUUACUCUCAACUGGGGAUGGGCACAGUUAUUGAAAUAUUUGAAUAUCUGAACAAACAUUAGUAUUUGAUUACUUGUGUGAGUAUUCAUAAGUAAAAAUUACAGGCCUAUUUUAAAAAUGAAAAUAUCCAUGUUACAUUGCUGCAUACAAGGAUAUACCAUGAUAUUUCAAAUUCUUAAUUUAAUAAAACCACUUUUAAAAGUCAAAGCUUCACUAGGCCUACAGUCAAAGAGGCUCACUACAAUACAUUUUAAUAGGAAGUUAGCAAAAAUAGAGAAGCUCUUGCUGCUGUGGAAAGGAAAAUACCUGUCUAUUUGUGAAAAACUGAUUAACUCUUUAGUCAUAUCCCAGUUUAUCUAUUUGCAGAAAUAUUCAAUUUUAUUUGGAACAGCAAGCCAAACAAAAUUAAAAUGGGCCCAUUUAUAUAAUGAAUAUUAAUUUGGAGGGCAGAAAUGAUUAAAUAUUAAAGCAUUAGACCUUAAAUCCGAACUGUUUCUCUAGCAGAUUAGUAAGAAUGACUCACCCCAUGUUCAAGAAUGGCUUUUUUCUCCAUUUAUUCAGAUUACAACCUCUCACUUUCGGUUUUUAAAAAAAUGAAACAAUCUCUAAAAUAUUGCUAUUUUUAAAACAAACCAUAGAAAGCUGGUUGCAAUUUCAGUUUAAUCAGAAAAGACAAAACAAAUAUUAUGGUUAACCUCAAAUAUACUAAUUGAUUAAAACAUUUAUUUUUUUUUUUUUUUUUUCAAAAAAAAAUAUACAUCAUAUAUAUAUAUAUAUAUAUAUAAAUUUAAAAAAA
Oncorhynchus tshawytscha (Chinook salmon) is the source of this 1008-nucleotide long non-coding RNA. The record is from Ensembl. Lineage: Eukaryota; Metazoa; Chordata; Actinopteri; Salmoniformes; Salmonidae.